GGGAGGCGCUGGAUCUUGGGCUGUGUCCCCCGGCGCCCUGGGCUCUGGGGCCUGUGCCACUGGAAUUGCGCUCCCAGGGCAGUGCAGCCUCCU
This 93-nucleotide microRNA precursor is filed under the name Canis lupus familiaris (dog). RNAcentral's name for it is "mir-8799 microRNA precursor family". It matches the Rfam family "mir-8799 microRNA precursor family". RNAcentral also lists the same sequence under 1 other name. The record is from Rfam by way of RNAcentral. Lineage: Eukaryota; Metazoa; Chordata; Mammalia; Carnivora; Canidae.